AUUGAACGCUGGCGGCAGGCCUAACACAUGCAAGUCGAGCGGAUGAAGGGAGCUUGCUCCUGGAUUCAGCGGCGGACGGGUGAGUAAUGCCUAGGAAUCUGCCUGGUAGUGGGGGAUAACGUCCGGAAACGGGCGCUAAUACCGCAUACGUCCUGAGGGAGAAAGUGGGGGAUCUUCGGACCUCACGCUAUCAGAUGAGCCUAGGUCGGAUUAGCUAGUUGGUGGGGUAAAGGCCUACCAAGGCGACGAUCCGUAACUGGUCUGAGAGGAUGAUCAGUCACACUGGAAAUGAGAAACGGUCCAGACUCCCACGGGAGGCAGCAGUGGGGAAUAUUGGACAAUGGGCGAAGGCCUGAUCCAGGCAUGCCGCGUGUGGGAAGAAGGUCUUCGGAUUGUAAAGCACUUUAAGUUGGGAGGAAGGGCAGUAAGUUAAUACCUUGCUGUUUUGACGUUACCAACAGAAUAAGCACCGGCUAACUUCGUG
This 484-nucleotide ribosomal RNA is filed under the name uncultured bacterium. Its description in RNAcentral is "partial 16S ribosomal RNA". It matches the Rfam family "Bacterial small subunit ribosomal RNA", at positions 30 to 507 of the family's 1533-position model. The record is from RNAcentral.